AUGGAGCAGCACACAGCAUCGUCACCACUAUCUUUCACCAGUAACCCUGCUGACUACUGGAACAACAUGGAGGAGGAACCUUCAACCAGCAGUUCAGAUGAAUUAAUGAGUCUGACAAGACAAAGUGUGGGAAUUAAGAGCAAAGGACCAGAAGUAGCCCAGAUCCCAGAUCCAAGCAGUUUAGGACUACAAGGUCCUGAUGGAAUGGAAACAGUCUUGUCUCAGACUGAAGAUAGUGUGGAUUAUGAAGAUGAUGACGUAGACUAUUGGCAGAAACCUCUGUUAGAGUCUGAAGUUGAAACUGAAGCUGACUUUGAAUCCCCCAGGAAAAAGAGAAAGAUGACUGACUCAAGUGAAUAUCCAAGCAGUUUAGAACUACAGGGUCCUGAUGGAACGGAAACAGACUUGUCUCAGACUGAAGAUAGUGUGGAUUAUGAAGCUGAUGAUGUAGACUAUUGGCAGAAACCUCUGUUAGAGUCUGAAGCAGAAACUGAAGGUGAAGCUGACUUUGAAUCCCACAGGAAAAAGAGAAAGAUGUUUGACUCAAGUGAAUAUCCAAGCAGUUUAGGACUACAAGGUCCUGAUGGAACGUCAACAGUCUUGUCUCAGACUGAAGAUAGUGUGGAUUAUGAAGAUGAUGAUGUAGACUAUUGGCAGAAAUCUCUGUCAGAGUCUGAAGCAGAAACUGAAGCUGAAGCUGACUUUGAAUCCCACAGGAAAAAGAGAAAGAUGUUUGACUCAAGUGACUAUCCAAGCAGUUUAGGACUACAAGGUCCUGAUGGAACGUCAACAGUCUUGUCUCAGACUGAAGAUAGUGUGGAUUAUGAAGAUGAUGAUGUAGACUAUUGGCAGAAAUCUCUGUCAGAGUCUGAAGCAGAAACUGAAGCUGAAGCUGACUUUGAAUCCCACAGGAAAAAGAGAAAGAUGUUUGACUCAAGUGACUAUCCAAGCAGUUUAGGACUACAAGGUCCUGAUGGAACGGAAACAGACUUGUCUCAGACUGAAGAUAGUGUGGAUUAUGAAGAUGAUGAUGUAGACUAUUGGCAGAAAUCUCUGUCAGAGUCUGAAGCAGAAACUGAAGCUGAAGUUGACUUUGAAUCCCACAGGAAAAAGAGAAAGAUGUUUGACUCAAGUGACUAUCCAAGCAGUUUAGAACUACAAGGUCCUGAUGGAACGGAAACAGACUUGUCUCAGACUGAAGAUAGUGUGGAUUAUGAAGAUGAUGCUGUAGACUAUUGGCAGAAAUCUCUGUCAGAGUCUGGAAGCAGAAGCUGA
This 1275-nucleotide long non-coding RNA is filed under the name Gouania willdenowi (blunt-snouted clingfish). RNAcentral describes it as "lncRNA (ENSGWIG00000019204.1)". Lineage: Eukaryota; Metazoa; Chordata; Actinopteri; Blenniiformes; Gobiesocidae. The record is from RNAcentral.